GACAGAGGUCCCGAGCGUUAGGCGGAAUCACUGGGCUUAAAGCGUGUGUAGGCGGACGCCUAAGUGUCUUGUGAAAUCCCACGGCUCACCCGUGGAACUGCUGGGCAUACUGGGCGUCUUGGGCCAACUAGGGGCAGCCGGAACAAGCGGUGGAGCGGUGAAAUGCGUAGAUAUCGCUUGGAACGCCGAAGGUGAAAACAGGCUGCUGGGGUUGCGCCGACGCUGAGACACGAAAGCCAGGGGAGCGAACGGG
RNAcentral lists this ribosomal RNA (253 nucleotides) under uncultured bacterium. RNAcentral's name for it is "partial 16S ribosomal RNA". It matches the Rfam family "Bacterial small subunit ribosomal RNA", at positions 524 to 776 of the family's 1533-position model. The record is from RNAcentral.